Molecule: ribosomal RNA, 253 nt
Filed under: uncultured bacterium
Lineage: Bacteria
Description: partial 16S ribosomal RNA
Rfam family: Bacterial small subunit ribosomal RNA
Source: RNAcentral
UACAGAGGCCUCUAGCGUUAGGCGGAAUCACUGGGCUUAAAGCGUGUGUAGGUGGCUUCCUAAGUACCUUGUGAAAUCCCAUGGCUUAACCAUGGAAUUGCUUGGUAUACUGGGUGUCUUGAGCCACUCAGGGGCUACUGGAACAAACGGUGGAGCGGUGAAAUGCGUAGAUAUCGUUUGGAACGCCAAUGGGGAAAACAAGUAGCUGGGGGUGGGCUGACACUGAGACACGAAAGCCAGGGGAGCAAACGGG